GAAAACGCUGGCGGCGUGCGUAACACAUGCCAUUCGAACGAGAAUGUACUGACGGAUCCUUCGGGUGAAGAUCCCCAGGACAGUGGCGGAUGGGUGAGUAACGCGUAAGAAACCUGCCUUUCACACCGGGAUAGCAGCUGGAAACGGCUAUCACUACCGGAUGACACUUUUUCCCCGCAUGAGGAAGAGGUUAAAGAAUUUCGGUGAAAGAUGGUCUUGCGUCUGAUUAGCUAGUUGGUGGGGUAACGGCCUACCAAGGCGACGAUCAGUAGCCGGCCUGAGAGGGUGUACGGCCACAUUGGGACUGAGACACGGCCCAAACUCCUACGGGAGGCAGCAGUGGGGAAUUUUGCACAAUGGAGGAAACUCUGAUGCAGCGACGCCGCGUGAACGAAGAAGGUCUUCGGAUUGUAAAGUUCUGUCCUGGGUGAAGAUAAUGACGGUAACUCAGGAGGAAGCCCCGGCUAACUACGUGCCAGCAGCCGCGGUAAUACGUAGGGGGCGAGCGUUGUUCGGAAUUAUUGGGCGUAAAGGGUACGUAGGCGGUUUGUUAAGUUUGGCG
RNAcentral lists this ribosomal RNA (562 nucleotides) under uncultured bacterium. RNAcentral describes it as "bacterial SSU rRNA". It matches the Rfam family "Bacterial small subunit ribosomal RNA", at positions 29 to 594 of the family's 1533-position model. The record is from RNAcentral.